UGGGGAAUAUUGCACAAUGGGCGCAAGCCUGAUGCAGCCAUGCCGCGUGUAUGAAGAAGGCCUUCGGGUUGUAAAGUACUUUCAGCGGGGAGGAAGGGAGUAAAGUUAAUACCUUUGCUCAUUGACGUUACCCGCAGAAGAAGCACCGGCUAACUCCGUGCCAGCAGCCGCGGUAAUACGGAGGGUGCAAGCGUUGUCCGGAUUUAUUGGGCGUAAAGCGAGCGCAGGCGGUUUCUUAAGUCUGAUGUGAAAGCCCCCGGCUCAACCGGGGAGGGUCAUUGGAAACUGGGAGACUUGAGUGCAGAAGAGGAGAGUGGAAUUCCAUGUGUAGCGGUGAAAUGCGUAGAUAUAUGGAGGAACACCAGUGGCGAAGGCGGCUCUCUGGUCUGUAACUGACGCUGAGGCUCGAAAGCGUGGGGAGCAAACAGG
This 429-nucleotide ribosomal RNA is filed under the name Chloroflexota bacterium. Its description in RNAcentral is "Chloroflexi bacterium partial 16S ribosomal RNA". It matches the Rfam family "Bacterial small subunit ribosomal RNA", at positions 355 to 776 of the family's 1533-position model. Lineage: Bacteria; Bacillati; Chloroflexota. The record is from RNAcentral.